Molecule: small nuclear RNA, 302 nt
Filed under: Pteropus vampyrus (large flying fox)
Lineage: Eukaryota; Metazoa; Chordata; Mammalia; Chiroptera; Pteropodidae
Description: 7SK RNA (ENSPVAG00000027529.1)
Rfam family: 7SK RNA
About the family: 7SK was discovered as an abundant small nuclear RNA in the mid-70s but a possible function has only recently been suggested. Two independent studies have found that 7SK RNA binds the CDK9/cyclin T complex (known as elongation factor P-TEFb).
Source: RNAcentral
GAAUGUGAGGGCAAUCUGGUUGCAAUAUCUGUCACCCCAAUGAUUGCCAGGGUUGAUUUGGCUGAUCUGGCUGGCUAGGCAGAUGUUCCUUUCCUCCCUCACUGCUCUGUGUGCACCCCUCCUGAAACUGUGCACUUGGUUGAAAAGGAUGACUUUCCCCAAUAGAAGAGAGGACCAUUCCUUGGUCAAGGGUAUACAAGGAGCUGAACUCCCCUGCUAGAACCUCCAAACAAGCAGUUAAAGUCCAUUAGGGUCAUCAAGCUUCCAAGACUAGAGACACAUCCAAAUGAGGCACUGCAUGU